CCUCCCUGGACUAAAAUACAAUUUCCACUGUUCUUUCUCACAUUUCUCCAUUUCCCUUCAUAGGCACCUCUCAUCUUUUCCCUAAAACUUUUCACGGAACGCAGCUCGUCCUCAUUUCUCCUCAACUCCCGCAAUGUAGCUCAUCCUUGCAACGAACGCAUCUCCUGCAACGCUGCUCAUCAUCAUUUCGUGGUCUCCGUCGUCAUCUAGGGUUCAUCUGUGUCGCUGUUGCGGUCGUUGUUGUCGUUGCGGUCGCUGUUGCCGUUUCGGUCGUCGGUUCGUUCUGAGUUGUGGUGGUCGUCGAGUCCUUUGCUGCGGUAGUGGCCGUUCCGUCCUUAGUUGUAGUGGCGGUUGAGUUACCUCGUUCCCCCAUUUUGAAAGGAGGAGCCUCUGCCUAAGUCACUUUGCUCGUCAAUGAUGCCUCAAUCUCUUGAAGGAUAGCAGCUUCAAGGUCUCGCAGGGCACGCUUCAGGCGCUCGACUCUGCCGCCAUUCGAGCUAGCGACCACUUCAAGCUCCAAUUCAAUGUGUUCGCUUCUGUGGGAGAAUGGUGGAGGCACAAAAAGCAAGGAUCUAGUAAGCUUAAGAGUGAGAAGAAGAGAGGGUGCAAGCUAUGAAGCGUUUCGGUUUGAGUACAGGACGCGUGAAGUUACGGGGUUUGGUGGAGGUGCGUUUCUGGAGAAGACAAACUAAGUUCCAGGUUGUUCUGGAACUAUGCUCUAUUUUAGUUCAAAUAAAAGAGAAAGGUGAUAAGGAGAAAUGGGUUUAAACGUCUGAACGUGGUUGGGUUGUGUUUCAGUAGUAGGUUGAAGUAGUUAUAGAAAGAAAAAAUGAUGAACAUCUAAACUGAAUGUGUUUAUUUCGGUGUUCUUGCUAUUCAUUUUUGUCUUGCGAGUAGGAUUGGUUUUAUUAUUAAGUGGUUAAAUUGUUAAAAAUGUGAUUUUGGAAAAAUAGGAGUACUAUGUGUUUUGGUUAUUUUAGUUGGGUUUUAUAAUUGAGAUGAUAAUAAGCUGGAAAAUUAGAAGUAAUGUAUGCUUUGGUUACAAAGAGAAAAAUUGAUCCUAUGUUUGAGCUGGCAUUGUUCUGGUUGGUAUGAAAUAAUGGGUAUGUUGAUAUUAAUGGUAUUGUGGCAUUCUAAAGACGAGAAGGAUGAUAUGCGAGGAUGUUUUAGGUGGGUCUUGGUUAUUAAUGAGUAUAUGGAGUGGAAAUUUAUGGUGGUUAUGUGCAUUUUUUUGGUUGGAUUAUAUAUAUAGCAGUGUAACAAAUAAAAUUGGCAGAGUGUUUUAAAGACGUGAUGGUAUGAGUUUUUGUAAUUCACAGGUAUAUAGAGAUGUUUAUUGAGCUCUUUUUAGUGUUAUAGAUUUGUGAACACUUUUAGGGGUAAUAUAUAUAAUAUUAUUGAAUGGAGUUGUAAUGUUAAAAGGUCUGGAUAAUGGAAAACAGAUGCAAGGAUCACUUUUAAUAUUAAAAUAUUGAUAUUGAAUUAAGAAUGGGAUAUUGGUUGUUUCGUUCAGAAAUUGUUUGACAAGCUGCAGUACCUUUUGAAUUAAGGUCACGUUUUAUAGAAUUGAUGGUUGAUGUAUUAUAAAUUGGUGGAAUAACUAUUUGUAUUUUAUUAAGUGUUUUAUAAAUUAUAAUUAGGAAGGAUAUGUUUACAUAUACUGUAAUGUUAAGCAAUAUAUGGAUUAUUAUGUGUUAAAUUGAUUAUUAAGAAGCAAAGCAUGAUUCAGUGGUGGAAACUUGGAUUCUUGGAAUUUCUUUUAUAUACUAGUUUGUUUCCAAUGAGUGGGUGUUAGUUCUGUUUUCAUUAUUGGAGAUAUUACGGGGCUAAAAUUAUAUGUGAACAUGAUCAUUGAAAUGAUUGGAAUUUACUUUGAUGCUAAUGUGGUUGCUUUUGAAUAGU
Vigna angularis (adzuki bean) is the source of this 1902-nucleotide long non-coding RNA. RefSeq lists it as uncharacterized. The record is from RefSeq and is a predicted model, not a curated record. The transcript is spliced from 3 exons. Lineage: Eukaryota; Viridiplantae; Streptophyta; Magnoliopsida; Fabales; Fabaceae.